This 640-nucleotide non-coding RNA is filed under the name Gossypium hirsutum (cotton). Its description in RNAcentral is "Eukaryotic large subunit ribosomal RNA". It matches the Rfam family "Eukaryotic large subunit ribosomal RNA", at positions 24 to 664 of the family's 3401-position model. Lineage: Eukaryota; Viridiplantae; Streptophyta; Magnoliopsida; Malvales; Malvaceae. The record is from Rfam by way of RNAcentral.
CUCGCUGAGUUUAAGCAUAUCAAUAAGUGGAGGAAAAGAAACUUACCGGGAUUCCCCUAGUAACGGCGAGUGAACCGGGAAAAGCCCUGCUUGAGAAUCGGGCGCCACCGGCGUUUGAAUUGUACUCUGGAGAAGCGUCCUCAUCGGCAGACCGGGCCCAAGUCCCCUGAAAAGGGGUGCCGGGAAGGGUGAGAGCCCCGUCGUGCCCGGACCCUAUCGCACCAUGAGGCGUGUCUACGAGUCGGGUUGUUUGGGAAUGCAGCCCUAAUCGGGCGGUAAAUUCCGUCCAAGGCUAAAUACGGGCGAGAGACCGAUAGCGAACAAGUACCGCGAGGGAAAUAUGAAAAGGACUUUGAAAAGAGAGUCAAAGAGUGCUUGAAAUUGUCGGGAGGGAAGCGGAUGGGGGCCGGCGAUGCGCCCCGGUCGGAUGUGGAACGGCGAGAGCCGGUCCGCCGAUCGGCUCGGGGCGUGGACCGACGCGGGUCGUGGCGGCGGCCCAAGCCCGGGCCUUUGAUACGCCUGUGGAGACGUCGUCGCCUCGAUCGUGGGAUCCAGCACGCGUUGUCUCAGCGUGCUUUGGCACCUGCGUGCUCCGGGCGUCCGCCUACGGGCUCCCCAUUUGGCCCGUCUUGAAACAUGG